GUGAGGAAUAUUGGACAAUGGGCGCAAGCCUGAUCCAGCCAUGCCGCGUGCAGGAAGACGCAUCUAUGGUGUGUAAACUGCUUUUGUACGGGAAGAAACACUCCCUCGUGAGGGAGCUUGACGGUACCGUAAGAAUAAGGAUCGGCUAACUCCGUGCCAGCAGCCGCGGUAAUACGGAGGAUCCAAGCUUUAUCCGGAAUCAUUGGGUUUAAAGGGUCCGUAGGCGGUUUAAUAAGUCAGUGGUGAAAGCCCAUCGCUCAACGAUGGAACGGCCAUUGAUACUGUUAGACUUGAAUUACAAGGAAGUAACUAGAAUAUGUAGUGUAGCGGUGAAAUGCUUAGAUAUUACAUGGAAUACCAAUUGCGAAGGCAGGUUACUACUUGUGGAUUGACGCUGAUGGACGAAAGCGUGGGGAGCGAACAGGAUUAGAAACCCCGGUAGUCC
This 445-nucleotide ribosomal RNA is filed under the name uncultured bacterium. RNAcentral's name for it is "partial 16S ribosomal RNA". It matches the Rfam family "Bacterial small subunit ribosomal RNA", at positions 354 to 796 of the family's 1533-position model. The record is from RNAcentral.